Molecule: long non-coding RNA, 1401 nt
Filed under: Coffea arabica (coffee)
Lineage: Eukaryota; Viridiplantae; Streptophyta; Magnoliopsida; Gentianales; Rubiaceae
Description: long non-coding RNA (CARA_LNC002521)
Source: RNAcentral
CCACUUGUUACUGUUCGUCCUCCCAAAUUGUAUUGACUUGUACAUUGUACAUGCAUAAAUAGACACACGGAUACAUGUCACUGCAAAGCAUGAAAAAAUGCUAAACAAAUGACCACCAUAAGUAUAAAUAUAAAAGAUUAUAUCACUCAAUCAAUUUGAGUAAUAUUACAAGACAUAACUUUGGGGAGGCUAAAUCCACAUACCUCUAUCUUAAAUACAUAACUUAAAUGUAUUCAUAAUUGGUAAUUUUAGUGUUCAUGAGAGAACUCUUGGAAUCUUUCUUCCUGCCAGGUUUAGGUUUGAAUUUUAUUCCUGACAGUUGAGUGUAGAAAAGACAUGAAAAGGCAUGUGAGGGUAAAAGGAUGAAAAUAAAAAAUGAAAGGUUUAUGAUAAUGCGUGAAUUUUGCAUUUUUUUUUGAUUUUUGAUAAGUAGGAUGUUUUGAAUCUAACAUCUCCUAUUUUCAAUUCAUUCCACCUUAUAAUCCAACCCAACAUUUCCUCAAAUUUUGCAUUUAGCUAACACAUGGCUUUGCAACUGCAAAUGCCAUCUUGAGUACCACAGAAACAAUCAAAAUAAGGAGCUCCAAGUGGAGAAGCUCUCAUAAAUGCAUCGUGACAUUCUGCUGGUCCACUGCAAUGGCGGCCAAUGUCCAGCUUUUGGAAACAAUAGCGUGGUGGGGGGUCACCUAAAAAAUUGAAAUUAAAUAAAUUAAAUUAUUAAAGCAAAAAAAAAAUUUCCAAUCAGUAUAAUCAGAUUCAACUACUCUUCUUGGUAAAAACUGAAAAUUAUAGUGAAAUAUCUAACAUGUUAAAUUUAUGUACCUAGUAUUCGCUUUGUUUAUACGUAAUUGGUCAAACAUAAUUAUUAAGGAUUAAUCUUUCCUACACUGACAGUGUACACACUAUCAGCGUUGGAUGAAUGACAACUACGCAAAAUUUGAAAUUGAAAUUCAAUUUUGUACACAUGUCAUGAAUCCAACGAUGAUAGUAUAUACACCAUCAGUGUAGGAAAGAUUUACUCAAUUAUUAAAAUGAUCAAAUGCAAUUAAUUUGAGAAUUGAAACAAAAAACAUGAUUAACACAAGAUAAGUUCUUUUCCACAAACUAUUUAGAUCCAAGUAAAGAUAUUCUGUUCUUGAACCAAAAAUAAGAUCCAUUUUCAAUUUAGUCCAAUUAAGGGCUGAUCAUGAUUGAAUAUGUCAAUUUUGACCAGAAUUUGAAGGGCCCGUUAUUUUGAGGAUCAGGUAACAAGCUGCAAAUUUUUGCAUAUUGAUUUGUAUUACCUCCUAACAGAAAUACGUACCUUCAAUGGCAGGAGUGGUUGGGGUGAAGAGACUUUGGAAAACUGAGAGAAACAAUAUCAGCAGAGCUAUAGAGUUCUUCAUUUUCAUUGUCUUUCUU